Molecule: transfer RNA, 76 nt
Filed under: Roseiflexus castenholzii
Lineage: Bacteria; Bacillati; Chloroflexota; Chloroflexia; Chloroflexales; Roseiflexaceae
Also listed under: 4 other names
Description: tRNA-Lys
Rfam family: tRNA
About the family: Transfer RNA (tRNA) molecules are approximately 80 nucleotides in length. Their secondary structure includes four short double-helical elements and three loops (D, anti-codon, and T loops).
Source: RNAcentral
GGGCCUCUAGCUCAAUUGGCAGAGCAGUUGACUCUUAAUCAAUUGGUUCAGGGUUCGAGUCCCUGGAGGCCCACCA